UUUAUGGAGAGUUUGAUCCUGGCUCAGGAUGAACGCUGGCGGCGUGCCUAAUACAUGCAAGUCGAGCGAACAGACAAGGAGCUUGCUCCUUUGACGUUAGCGGCGGACGGGUGAGUAACACGUGGGUAACCUACCUAUAAGACUGGGAUAACUUCGGGAAACCGGAGCUAAUACCGGAUAAUAUUUCGAACCGCAUGGUUCGAUAGUGAAAGAUGGUUUUGCUAUCACUUAUAGAUGGACCCGCGCCGUAUUAGCUAGUUGGUAAGGUAACGGCUUACCAAGGCGACGAUACGUAGCCGACCUGAGAGGGUGAUCGGCCACACUGGAACUGAGACACGGUCCAG
This 344-nucleotide ribosomal RNA is filed under the name Staphylococcus haemolyticus. RNAcentral describes it as "bacterial SSU rRNA". It matches the Rfam family "Bacterial small subunit ribosomal RNA", at positions 1 to 334 of the family's 1533-position model. Lineage: Bacteria; Bacillati; Bacillota; Bacilli; Caryophanales; Staphylococcaceae. The record is from RNAcentral.